GGUAUAAUUGCAUAACUGGUAAAAAACAAAAACAAAAAAAGCUGACAAAAAAUAAAGGAGACGGAAAAAAGUGAGAGUGUGUGAUUUCCGAAGCUCCGCCCCCUUCAUUUAUAACAACAGCUGUGUCAUCGUCAGCCAGGAUUUCAGUAGGAGUAGAAGAAGAAAAGUAGGUGUUAGAAGUAGAAGUAGAAGAAGUCGGUGUUAUUCUUCACAGCUAGCUGUUUCUGUUGGAGUGUGUUCGUGUGUGAACGGAGCACUAAUGUCGGCCGUGGGACCCAACAUGCAGAGCGUCACAUGUGACCUGGGGCGUCCGUGCCACCUCACGUGCACACAUCGUUUAUCAGGCAUCACUGACCUGAACUGGGUGAAGUAUUCUGGUUCCCAUCCACGUCUUUAUGGAGACCACGGUGACGAGGAGACGUUCAUCCACCCUGACUACAGGGGGAAGCUGUCUGUGAGCAGGUACGGGGAGUCUGAACAUGGUCUGGUGUCUGACCUGUGUCUGAAGGAGCCUGGGGUCCACUCUGAGUCUGUGUACCUCAGCCAGGCCAGGAACCAUUUAGACCAGUUCAGCCACUGCUUCCUCAACCUCACAGUGAAAGCGCCAGUGGUGGACAUUGACAUCAGGAAAGAGAGGAACCAGAUCGUCUGCCGCUCAAAGAAAAACUAUCCCGAGCCUCAGCUGGAGUGGCUUCUCGACCCUUUCUGGGAAAAUGCGAACAAAUCCAAGUUGGUGCAGCGUGACCCGGACGGACUGUUGAGCGUGCAGAACUUCCUGGACCUCCCACACUCAGAGGAAGUGGACGGAAACCACGCCGUCAGCUGUGUCGUCAGCAGGGACCAUGACUGGAAGAGGGGCACGUGGACCCAACGGGCUCUCCUCACCUCCCCCGAUGUCGACCCCUGGAUCCCGUGCGUUCCAGACUCCAAUGAGACGUUCCACAGCGUCACCUGGACAUUCAACCAGGAGCAUCACAUCCUGUCACAGAACGGCAGCAGCAAAGCUUCACUCGUGGUGUCCGACGAUUGGAAGGAGAACGUGAAGGACGUGUCUGCGUGGGGCGACCUGCAGCUCAACGCUUUCAGUCCAGAGAAGGAGGGGCUCUACACCUGCGUGGCCAAAGGUGCAGCGGACACUUUCGUUACCGACACCAUCCUGAAUGUGGACCAAGGGAACCCCAUGCUGCCUUGGUUUCUUAUAUUUUUCCUGGGAGCGUUCAUCCUCCUGGUCGUCCUGAAGAACUUUAUCUGUGCGACGGUGACGAGUAAAGUCUUUAUUGAAGACUCCGCCUCCUUCACCAGAACAAAAAACCACUGGAUUCCAACUGGUCCAUAUUAGGAAAUGUGAAAUGUUUCAGAUCCAGCUUUUCCCAAACGGAGACCAGCCGUCACGUCCUCAUCAUCACACAUUAAAGUUCUCGUGAACAGGUGGAGUUGUUCACACUGAAACAUGCUAGUAGCUCUGUUGCUGUAGCUUUUAGUUGAUAAUUAAGUUUCCUUUCAUAUGUUUUGCUCAUGCUUGGUAGGAAUUCUUUAUUUCUUCUCAUGUUUGUCACAACAGUCGUCCCAGCCUUACAGAUUCAUAGCGUUCACACUUUAUUUAUUUACGCUGUUUACAAAGAGUUUUUGGUAACAACCGUCAAAGUUAAACUCUUGUAGUUGGAACCCAUCAUCCUAAUUGUUUACAUGUGUGCAGUUUCGACACUCAAUAGUUUUGUGAGUCUUAGCCACGGUUUUCCGAUAUUUGUAACAUUCCCCGUUCCCGCGCUGCAUCCCGUGAACCUCGUUUGUCACUGUGUGGUAACCAGGCAAUGCUAGUCUGAUAUUUUACUUUUUUAUUUUUACUUCAAGUUUAGGAAGAAGGUCAUCACUCCCCAAACAGUCAGAUUUGCUAGCAUGCUAU
RNAcentral lists this long non-coding RNA (1903 nucleotides) under Gouania willdenowi (blunt-snouted clingfish). RNAcentral's name for it is "lncRNA (ENSGWIG00000018277.1)". Lineage: Eukaryota; Metazoa; Chordata; Actinopteri; Blenniiformes; Gobiesocidae. The record is from RNAcentral.